RNAcentral lists this transfer RNA (85 nucleotides) under Mycobacteroides abscessus subsp. abscessus. RNAcentral's name for it is "tRNA-Tyr(gta)". It matches the Rfam family "tRNA". Rfam says of the family: Transfer RNA (tRNA) molecules are approximately 80 nucleotides in length. Their secondary structure includes four short double-helical elements and three loops (D, anti-codon, and T loops). Further hydrogen bonds mediate the characteristic L-shaped molecular structure. tRNAs have two regions of fundamental functional importance: the anti-codon, which is responsible for specific mRNA codon recognition, and the 3' end, to which the tRNAs corresponding amino acid is attached (by aminoacyl-tRNA synthetases). tRNAs cope with the degeneracy of the genetic code in two manners: having more than one tRNA (with a specific anti-codon) for a particular amino acid; and 'wobble' base-pairing, i.e. permitting non-standard base-pairing at the 3rd anti-codon position. The record is from RNAcentral. RNAcentral also lists the same sequence under 1 other name. Lineage: Bacteria; Bacillati; Actinomycetota; Actinomycetes; Mycobacteriales; Mycobacteriaceae.
GCCGGCACGGCGCAGAUGGCGAGGCGCGGCGGACUGUAAAUCCGUUCUUUCGGGUGAGGGGGUUCGAGUCCCUCUGUCGGCACCA